GCUUGCACCUGAUUCNUAGCGGCGGACGGGUGAGUAAUGCUUAGGAAUCUGCCUAUUAGUGGGGGACAACGUUCCGAAAGGGACGCUAAUACCGCAUACGUCCUACGGGAGAAAGCAGGGGAUCUUCGGACCUUGCGCUAAUAGAUGAGCCUAAGUCGGAUUAGCUAGUUGGUGGGGUAAAGGCCUACCAAGGCGACGAUCUGUAGCGGGUCUGAGAGGAUGAUCCGCCACACUGGGACUGAGACACGGCCCAGACUCCUACGGGAGGCAGCAGUGGGGAAUAUUGGACAAUGGGGGGAACCCUGAUCCAGCCAUGCCGCGUGUGUGAAGAAGGCCUUUUGGUUGUAAAGCACUUUAAGCGAGGAGGAGGCUUACCUGGUUAAUACCNGGGAUAAGUGGACGUUACUCGCAGAAUAAGCACCGGCUAACUCUGUGCCAGCAGCCGCGGUAAUACAGAGGGUGCAAGCGUUAAUCGGAUUUACUGGGCGUAAAGCGCGCGUAGGUGGCUAAUUAAGUCAAAUGUGAAAUCCCCGAGCUUAACUUGGGAAUUGCAUUCGAUACUGGUUAGCUAGAGUAUGGGAGAGGAUGGUAGAAUUCCAGGUGUAGCGGUGAAAUGCGUAGAGAUCUGGAGGAAUACCGAUGGCGAAGGCAGCCAUCUGGCCUAAUACUGACACUGA
This 677-nucleotide ribosomal RNA is filed under the name unidentified microorganism. Its description in RNAcentral is "bacterial SSU rRNA". It matches the Rfam family "Bacterial small subunit ribosomal RNA", at positions 78 to 749 of the family's 1533-position model. The record is from RNAcentral.